GACGAACGCUGGCGGCGCGCUUAACACAUGCAAGUCGAACGGAAAGGCCUGCUUUCCCUUGUGGAUUGCGGGUACUCGAGUGGCGAACGGGUGAGUAACACGUGAGUGAUCUGCCCCCAACUUGGGUAUAAGCCUGGGAAACUGGGUCUAAUUCCCGAUAGGACUGCAGGGUGGUGCCUGUGGUGGAAAACGAUUUUCUAGUGGUUGGGGAUGAGCUCGCGGCCUAUCAGCUUGUUGGUGGGGUAAUGGCCUACCAAGGCGGCGACGGGUAGCCGGCCUGAGAGGGUGGACGGCCACAUUGGGACUGAGAUACGGCCCAGACUCCUACGGGAGGCAGCAGUGGGGAAUAUUACACAAUGGGCGGAAGCCUGAUGCAGCGACGCCGCGUGGGGGAUGACGGCCUUCGGGUUGUAAACUCCUUUCGACCGCGAGGAAGCCACCUGGUUGGAAGGGUGGUGACGGUAGUGGCAGAAGAAGCACCGGCUAACUACGUG
This 494-nucleotide ribosomal RNA is filed under the name uncultured bacterium. Its description in RNAcentral is "partial 16S ribosomal RNA". It matches the Rfam family "Bacterial small subunit ribosomal RNA", at positions 28 to 507 of the family's 1533-position model. The record is from RNAcentral.